AGAGUUUGAUCAUGGCUCAGAACGUACGCUGGCGGCACGCCUUAUACAUGCAAGUCGAACGAAGUAGCAAUACUUAGUGGCAGACGGGUGAGUAACAUGUAGGUAUCUUCCCUUUGGUGAGGAAUAACACGAGGAAACUUGUGCUAAUACCUCAUAAGUCUUUACAGAGAAAGCUUUAUGCGCCGAAGGAUGAGCCUGCAUUUGAUUAGUUUGUUGGUGGGGUAAUGGCUCACCAAGACUUUGAUCAAUAGCUGAUCUGAGAGGAUGAUCAGCCACAUUGGGACUGAGACACGGCCCAAACUCCUACGGGAGGCAGCAGUAGGGAAUAUUGCACAAUGGAGGAAACUCUGAUGCAGCGAUGCCGCGUGAGUGAAGAAGGCCUUUGGGUUGUAAAGCUCUUUCGUCGGGGAAGAAAAUGACUGUACCCGAAUAAGAAGGUCCGGCUAACUUCGUGCCAGCAGCCGCGGUAAUACGAAGGGACCUAGCGUAGUUCGGAAUUACUGGGCUUAAAGAGUUCGUAGGUGGUUAAAAAAGUUGGUGGUGAAAUCCCAGAGCUUAACUCUGGAACUGCCAUCAAAACUUUUUAGCUAGAGUAUGAUAGAGGAAAGCAGAAUUUCUAGUGUAGAGGUGAAAUUCGUAGAUAUUAGAAAGAAUACCAAUUGCGAAGGCAGCUUUCUGGAUCAUUACUGACACUGAGGAACGAAAGCAUGGGUAGCGAAGAGGAUUAGAUACCCUCGUAGUCCAUGCCGUAAACGAUGUGUGUUAGACGUUGGAAAUUUAUUUUCAGUGUCGCAGCGAAAGCAUUAAACACACCGCCUGGGGAGUACGACCGCAAGGUUAAAACUCAAAGGAAUUGACGGGGGCCCGCACAAGCGGUGGAGCAUGUGGUUUAAUUCGACGCAACGCGAAGAACCUUACCAGGUCUUGACAUCCUGAUUUUGGUUGUUAGAAAUAACUUCCUUCAGUUCGGCUGGAUCAGUGACAGGUGCUGCAUGGCUGUCGUCAGCUCGUGUCGUGAGAUGUUGGGUUAAGUCCCGCAACGAGCGCAACCCUUAUCUUUAGUUGCCAUCAGGUCAAGCUGGGCACUCUAAAGAAACUGCCGGUGAUAAGCCGGAGGAAGGCGGGGAUGACGUCAAGUCCUCAUGGCCCUUAUGACCUGGGCUACACACGUGCUACAAUGGCAGUGACAAUGAGCAGCGAUAGCGCGAGCUUUAGCUAACCUCAAAAAUCUGUCUCAGUUCGGAUUGAACUCUGCAACUCGAGUUCAUGAAGUUGGAAUCGCUAGUAAUCGUAGAUCAGCAUGCUACGGUGAAUACGUUCCCGGGCCUUGUACACACCGCCCGUCACACCAUGGAAGUUGGUUUUACCCAAAGACGACGCGCUAACCGCAAGGAGGCAGUCGGCCACGGUAAGGUCAGCGACUGGGGUGAAGUCGUAACAAGGUAGCCGUA
RNAcentral lists this ribosomal RNA (1451 nucleotides) under uncultured bacterium. RNAcentral describes it as "partial 16S ribosomal RNA". It matches the Rfam family "Bacterial small subunit ribosomal RNA". The record is from RNAcentral.